UAUGUAGCUUGAAGAGCAAAUAUUGGGUGAAUGAACAAAGGUAUGGUGGACUCUCUGUUGGUGGACAACUGCCAAUUCUUGAUGUUGACCCUGAGGAAAUUCAGGCCGUUCUUUCCCAGCUUGGACAGAUGAUGAAUAUUACAGGGGGCCCCUAUUCAAAGUCAGCUAUGAAUGAAUUAGGAACUUUCUUGCAAUACAUGGAGAGUGAGUACAAUGUUAAGGUAUG
Molecule: long non-coding RNA, 226 nt
Organism: Sinocyclocheilus rhinocerous
Lineage: Eukaryota; Metazoa; Chordata; Actinopteri; Cypriniformes; Cyprinidae
Exons: 3
Source: RefSeq, a predicted model, not a curated record